GAAUUUUGCUCAAUGGGCGAAAGCCUGAAGCAGCAACGCCGCGUGCGGGAUGAAGGCCUUCGGGUUGUAAACCGCUUUUCUCAGGGACGAUGAUGACGGUACCUGAGGAAUAAGUCACGGCUAACUACGUGCCAGCAGCCGCGGUAAUACGUAGGUGACUAGCGUUGUCCGGAUUUACUGGGCGUAAAGAGCGCGCAGGCGGUCGUUCAAGUCGAGUGUGAAAGCCCCCGGCUCAACUGGGGAGGGUCACUUGAUACUGAUCGACUGGAAGGCAGGAGAGGGAAGCGGAAUUCCCGGUGUAGUGGUGAAAUGCGUAGAUAUCGGGAGGAACACCAGUGGCGAAGGCGGCUUCCUGGCCUGUUCUUGACGCUGAGGCGCGAAAGCUAGGGGAGCAAACGG
This 399-nucleotide ribosomal RNA is filed under the name uncultured bacterium. Its description in RNAcentral is "bacterial SSU rRNA". It matches the Rfam family "Bacterial small subunit ribosomal RNA", at positions 359 to 775 of the family's 1533-position model. The record is from RNAcentral.